UUUUGACGCCGUCAGGCUGCCAAUUUUUUUCGUCGCCGCAUGCCGUCCUCCGCCGCCGCCCGCCUGCGCCAUCGCCCUCCGACCGUCGUCCUCCGCCGCCAUCCUCUGAGGCACAAGCAAACGACGGUGAGCUUCGGUCAGUGGGGCUUUGGCCGGCGCUCGGCGGUGGUCGAGGCGGCUGCGGCCCCUGCGGGCAGCGGGCAACAGGGGCGAGGUCGCUGUGACCUGUGGGCAGUGGGCAUCGGGACAGGCGAGGAGCCGCCGAUCGGCCGGUGGCGCCACGACGGCCGAAUCCCGAGUUCCUGACUGCGGCGCCAACCGCCCGAAUCCCCGAAUCCCGUCCCGACGGCCAACAGCGGCGUGCUCCUGAGGAGGCGAGGUUUCAAAGUACAAGAAGGGACUGAGGAAUGAGCCAAAAGCCUUGAAGCCUGUUGCCGUAAUUGUCCGCUGCAGCCUCGGUGGCGAUGACAAUGGGUACUCAAAGAUAAGAGGCCACUUGGUGGUGGUGAGUGGAGACCGUGGAAUUGCUCAUCUCCUCUCUUGCGCUAAUUAACAAGAUCAAGUAUUAGUUCGUGCCAAAAGGGAGUCUAAAAAGGAUGAUGCUGACGUAGAGUCACUAAUAAAAAAAAAAAAAAGGCUGCUUCCCUGGUUCGAAUAUUGGGGAUUUGGGGGCGUUUGUUGGGCCCAACCACGGCACGUCCAGCAUACGCGAAAGUUCACCUUUUGAGAGCAACAGAUUGUGUAGGUACAUGCACACACACACAGCAACAGCUUGCCAAGUUUUGGCUUCAAAUUUUGGUCUGCAGAUGAAUCUAGCUAUAGCUACAUACUAACCGUACCAAUGAUGAUGCAACUUUUAAGGCUGUUGUUUUCCCAUUGCUGUCCUGUAAUCCAUUUCUUGUAUGCUUCCCAUGUUAUGAUGAUU
This is a long non-coding RNA of Oryza brachyantha (malo sina), 925 nucleotides long. RefSeq lists it as uncharacterized. NCBI's taxonomy places the organism in Eukaryota, Viridiplantae, Streptophyta, Magnoliopsida, Poales, Poaceae. The transcript has 3 exons. The record is from RefSeq and is a predicted model, not a curated record.